UAAAGCUUAAAGUCUAUUCAUUUACAAAAGCUACAAUGUGUCGUUAUAUGAAUUCAAACAGCUUAAAGUUAUGCAUCUUGACUCAAAUUUAACAACUUACCUGUCUGCACAUAUCUAAGUAGAAUAUGUAUAAAUUAAAAUACAAAGAGUUACAUAUUUGUACAAUUUCAAACAGAAUACAUUGCAUGAACUGAAACUGAAUAUGGAAAACAAGGAAAUAAUAUAUGUACUCAAAAUACAGGCAAAUCUCCAAAAUAGCAUCUUUCUAAGUUUAUAUCAUAAAAAUAGCACUCCAAAACUAAAAUGACCAAAAUAGCAUCUUUCUAAGUUUAUCCUUUGAAAAUUUUAAUUUUUUUAUUUUUCAAAAUUUGAAAUCUUAUCCCCAAAACCUCAUUUCUCAACUCUAAACCCUAAAUCUUAAACUCUAAACCCUAAACCCUAAAUCCUAAACCCUAAACCCUAAACUCUAAACCCUAAACCCUAAACUCUAAACUCUAAACGCUAAACCCUAAAUCCUAAACCC
Molecule: long non-coding RNA, 523 nt
Filed under: Brassica napus (rape)
Lineage: Eukaryota; Viridiplantae; Streptophyta; Magnoliopsida; Brassicales; Brassicaceae
Description: long non-coding RNA (BNAP_LNC011529)
Source: RNAcentral